RNAcentral lists this ribosomal RNA (724 nucleotides) under uncultured bacterium. RNAcentral's name for it is "bacterial SSU rRNA". It matches the Rfam family "Bacterial small subunit ribosomal RNA", at positions 8 to 775 of the family's 1533-position model. The record is from RNAcentral.
AGAGUUUGAUCCUGGCUCAGAACGAACGCUGGCGGCAGGCCUAACACAUGCAAGUCGAACGCUCGUAGCAAUACGAGAGUGGCAGACGGGUGAGUAACACGUGGGAACCUUCCCUUUGGUUCGGAAUAGCUCAGGGAAACUUGGGGUAAUACCGGAUAAGCCCUUACGGGGAAAGAUUUAUCGCCGAAGGAUGGGCCCGCGUCGGAUUAGCUAGUUGGUGGGGUAACGGCCUACCAAGGCGACGAUCCGUAGCUGGUCUGAGAGGAUGAUCAGCCACACUGGGACUGAGACACGGCCCAGACUCCUACGGGAGGCAGCAGUGGGGAAUAUUGGACAAUGGGCGCAAGCCUGAUCCAGCCAUGCCGCGUGAGUGACGAAGGUCUUCGGAUUGUAAAACUCUUUUGGCGGGGACGAUAAUGACGGUACCCGCAGAAUAAGCCCCGGCUAACUUCGUGCCAGCAGCCGCGGUAAUACGAAGGGGGCUAGCGUUGUUCGGAAUCACUGGGCGUAAAGCGCACGUAGGCGGAUGUGUCAGUCAGGGGGUGAAAUCCCGGAGCUCAACUCCGGAACUGCCUCUGAUACAGCACGUCUUGAGUUCGAGAGAGGUGGGUGGAAUUCCUAGUGUAGAGGUGAAAUUCGUANAUAUUAGGAAGAACACCGGUGGCGAAGGCGGCCCACUGGCUCGAUACUGACGCUGAGGUGCGAAAGCGUGGGGAGCAAACAG